This 414-nucleotide ribosomal RNA is filed under the name uncultured bacterium. RNAcentral describes it as "bacterial SSU rRNA". It matches the Rfam family "Bacterial small subunit ribosomal RNA", at positions 355 to 766 of the family's 1533-position model. The record is from RNAcentral.
UGAGGAAUAUUGGGCAAUGCCCGCAAGGGUGACCCAGCAACGCCGCGUGGAGGAUGAAUGUCGUAAGAUUGUAAACUCCUGUUAGAGGGGAAGAAUAGUACCGGUUGGACCGGUAUAUGACUGUACCCUCAGAGAAAGCCCCGGCUAACUACGUGCCAGCAGCCGCGGUAAUACGUAGGGGGCAAGCGUUGUCCGGAUUUACUGGGUGUAAAGGGCGCGCAGGCGGGAUAAAAAGUCAGUGGUGAAAUCCUACAGCUUAACUGUAGAACUGCCUUUGAUACUGUUAGUCUUGAGUUCGGGAGAGAGAGACGGAAUUCCAGGUGUAGUGGUGAAAUACGUAGAUAUCUGGAAGAACACCAGUUGCGAAGGCGGUCUCUUGGUCCGACACUGACGCUGAGGCGCGAAAGCGUGGGG